GAUGAACGCUGGCGGCGUGUUUUAACACAUGCAAGUCGAGCGAAGCACUUUACUUUGGAUUCCUUCGGGUAGUGAAGAGUGAUUUGUACUGAGCGGCGGACGGGUGGAGUAACGCGUGGGCAAUCUGCCUCAUACAGGGGAGUAACAGUUAGAAAUAGACUGCUAAUACCGCAUAAGACCACAGUGCCGCAUGGCACAGGGGUAAAAACUACCGGUGGUAUGAGAUGAGCCCGCGUCUGAUUAGGUAGUUGGUGGGGUAACGGCCUACCAAGCCGACGAUCAGUAGCCGACCUGAGAGGGCGACCGGCCACAUUGGGACUGAGACACGGCCCAAACUCCUACGGGAGGCAGCAGUGGGGAAUAUUGCACAAUGGGGAAACCCUGAUGCAGCGACGCCGCGUGAAGGAUGAAGUAUUUCGGUAUGUAAACUUCUAUCAGCAGGGAAGAAAAUGACGGUACCUGACUAAGAAAGCCCCGGCUAACUACGUGCCAGCAGCCGCGGUAAC
This 506-nucleotide ribosomal RNA is filed under the name uncultured bacterium. Its description in RNAcentral is "bacterial SSU rRNA". It matches the Rfam family "Bacterial small subunit ribosomal RNA", at positions 28 to 524 of the family's 1533-position model. The record is from RNAcentral.